Long non-coding RNA from Myotis lucifugus (little brown bat), 853 nucleotides. RefSeq lists it as uncharacterized. Lineage: Eukaryota; Metazoa; Chordata; Mammalia; Chiroptera; Vespertilionidae. The transcript is spliced from 2 exons. The record is from RefSeq and is a predicted model, not a curated record.
UUGGGUUCCGCCAGACGAAAGAAGUCGGAGGCUUAGGGGAACGAGCAACCCCUUCAAGGUGAGGGCUGCACGUUCUGCAAAAAAAAUCGCCCAAUACCAAUACGAAGGUAGUGUUGGCUGAGUAAUAAUUGGAGCUAAGACUCUACUAGUAUGACAUUUUUACACAUAUAUUAAUUUUUUUUAAAUCCCGACAAAAAUCUUGUGAGCUAUUAGGUCACUCCCUUCUCUAUUUCCCGCAGCACUUUCUUCACAGGCUAACAGAGCGUAAACAGAUUUCAUUAUAUCACGGUUAAAAUGUCUAUUUCCUCUUUUCAGGAACCAGUGUGCGCUCACAGGGCAGAGACUGUUCCUUACUCAUAUCUGUAUUUCUGUAUUAUCAAACAUAGCAUAAUGCAUAGGCCACAACAGGACUCAUUAGGAAACUAUCAGGUUUAUAUUAAUUAAGUCAAAUAUAAUGUAUCCUGUUGUACAGUCUCAAAAGGCUUCAUCGACUGCAUCCCGUUUCACCGCUCAAAUUUUCCAGGUAAUCAGACAGAAGUUGUCCAAAAGAGGCCCCUUUCCUCCCCUUACCUCCCCAUGUCUAUCUGGAUCAUCACAUUCAGCCUCAACUAUUCAGCUACAAAGCAGUACUCAGUACCAGAGCUUUGGCACAGAAUAAAAACCCAUUAUAGAUGUUUGCAAAAUGAGAGGAAAUAUGGUGUAAUAGAAAGAACAUGGAUAUUAUAAUCAGACAAAAGCCAGUGAUGUUGAGCAAGUAUUGAAGUUUUCUGAGCCUGGGUGUUCUUAUUUAUUAAAUGCCAAAAUUGCCUUUCUACUAAAGUUGCUAUGAGGAUUAAAAACCUCCAGCACUUGA